UGGGGAAUCUUGCGCAAUGGCCUAACGGCUGACGCAGCGACGCCGCGUGUGGGAUGAAGCUCCUCGGAGUGUAAACCACUGUUGCCCGGGACGAAUAGCUCGAUUAAUCGAGCCUGACGGUACCGGGUGAGGAAGCACCGGCUAACUCCGUGCCAGCAGCCGCGGUAAUACGGGGGGUGCGAGCGUUGUCCGGAAUCACUGGGCGUAAAGGGCGCGUAGGUGGUUUGAUAAGGGUGUGGUGAAAGUCCGGGGCUCAACCCCGGAUCUGCCGUGCCGACUGUCAAACUCGAGGACUGUAGAGGCAGACGGAAUUCCGGGUGUAGCGGUGGAAUGCGUAGAGAUCCGGAGGAAGACCGGUGGCGAAGGCGGUCUGCUGGGCAGUUUCUGACACUGAGGCGCGACAGCGUGGGGAGCAAACAG
Molecule: ribosomal RNA, 420 nt
Filed under: uncultured bacterium
Lineage: Bacteria
Description: bacterial SSU rRNA
Rfam family: Bacterial small subunit ribosomal RNA
Source: RNAcentral